CGCGUAGGCGGUGUCGUAAGUCGGAUGUGAAAUCCCCCGGCUCAACCGAGGAAUUGCAUCCGAAACUGCGGUACUAGAGUGUGGGAGGGGGGAGUGGAAUUCCUGGUGGAGCGGUGAAAUGCGUAGAUAUCAGGAGGAACGCCGGUGGCGAAGGCGACUCUCUGGCCCACAACUGACGCUGAGUGCGCGAAAGCUAGGGGAGCAAACA
Molecule: ribosomal RNA, 208 nt
Filed under: uncultured bacterium
Lineage: Bacteria
Description: partial 16S ribosomal RNA
Rfam family: Bacterial small subunit ribosomal RNA
Source: RNAcentral